RNAcentral lists this ribosomal RNA (482 nucleotides) under uncultured bacterium. RNAcentral describes it as "partial 16S ribosomal RNA". It matches the Rfam family "Bacterial small subunit ribosomal RNA", at positions 30 to 507 of the family's 1533-position model. The record is from RNAcentral.
ACUGAACGCUGGCGGCAUGCUUUACACAUGCAAGUCGAACGGUAACGGGCCGCAAGGUGCUGACGAGUGGCGAACGGGUGAGUAAUGCAUCGGAACGUGCCCAGUCGUGGGGGAUAACUACUCGAAAGAGUAGCUAAUACCGCAUACGAUCUAUGGAUGAAAGCGGGGGACCGUAAGGCCUCGCGCGAUUGGAGCGGCCGAUGUCAGAUUAGGUAGUUGGUGGGGUAAAGGCUCACCAAGCCAACGAUCUGUAGCUGGUCUGAGAGGACGACCAGCCACACUGGGACUGAGACACGGCCCAGACUCCUACGGGAGGCAGCAGUGGGGAAUUUUGGACAAUGGGCGCAAGCCUGAUCCAGCAAUGCCGCGUGCAGGAAGAAGGCCUUCGGGUUGUAAACUGCUUUUGUACGGAACGAAACGGCUCUGGUUAAUACCCGGGGCUAAUGACGGUACCGUAAGAAUAAGCACCGGCUAACUACGUG